UCCUGGGGUUCCUGAUCCAGCACAACGUCACCGGCAAGGGGCCCUUCGACAACCUGCUGCAGCACCUGUCCGACCCAUGGCACAACACCAUCAUCCAGACUUUCUCCGGUUGAGUCGACGGGGAGUGAUCACCAAUUUGGUGGGCUGAUGGGGACAGGAGGACAUACAUUGAUACGCGAUCGAUGUGAAUUCCUUUCUGUGUGGAUCAUCAGUUUGUGAUGUGUGUUUAAUCCGGAGAGGAGAUUAAGGACUGUGUUGUAAUAAUGCUGUAUGCAUGGUGAGGAGAGUGAGUA
Molecule: long non-coding RNA, 293 nt
Filed under: Setaria italica (foxtail millet)
Lineage: Eukaryota; Viridiplantae; Streptophyta; Magnoliopsida; Poales; Poaceae
Description: long non-coding RNA (SITA_LNC004690)
Source: RNAcentral